This 791-nucleotide ribosomal RNA is filed under the name uncultured bacterium. Its description in RNAcentral is "bacterial SSU rRNA". It matches the Rfam family "Bacterial small subunit ribosomal RNA", at positions 8 to 796 of the family's 1533-position model. The record is from RNAcentral.
AGAGUUUGAUCAUGGCUCAGAUUGAACGCUGGCGGCAUGCCUUACACAUGCAAGUCGAACGGCAGCACGGGGGCAACCCUGGUGGCGAGUGGCGAACGGGUGAGUAAUACAUCGGAACGUGUCCUGUCGUGGGGGAUAACCAGUCGAAAGACUGGCUAAUACCGCAUGAGAUCGAGAGAUGAAAGCAGGGGACCGCAAGGCCUUGCGCGAUUGGAGCGGCCGAUGUCGGAUUAGCUUGUUGGCGGGGUAAAAGCCCACCAAGGCGACGAUCCGUAGCUGGUUUGAGAGAACGACCAGCCACACUGGGACUGAGACACGGCCCAGACUCCUACGGGAGGCAGCAGUGGGGAAUUUUGGACAAUGGGGGCAACCCUGAUCCAGCCAUGCCGCGUGUGUGAAGAAGGCCUUCGGGUUGUAAAGCACUUUCGGACGGAACGAAAUCGCACGGGUGAAUAUCCCGUGUGGAUGACGGUACUGUAAGAAGAAGCACCGGCUAACUACGUGCCAGCAGCCGCGGUAAUGCGUAGGGUGCGAGCGUUAAUCGGAAUUACUGGGCGUAAAGCGUGCGCAGGCGGCUUCGCAAGUCAGGCGUGAAAUCCCCGGGCUUAACCUGGGAAUGGCGUCUGAAACUACGGAGCUGGAGUGUGGCAGAGGGAGGUAGAAUUCCACGUAGCGGUGAAAUGCGUAGAUAUGUGGAGGAAUACCGAUGGCGAAGGCAGCCUCCUGGGCCAACACUGACGCUCAUGCACGAAAGCGUGGGGAGCAAACAGGAUUAGAUACCCUAGUAGUCC